UACGAAGGGGGCUAGCGUUGCUCGGAAUUACUGGGCGUAAAGCGCACGUAGGCGGCUCUUUAAGUCGGGGGUGAAAUCCUGGAGCUCAACUCCAGAACUGCCUUCGAUACUGAAGAUCUUGAGUUCGGGAGAGGUGAGUGGAACUGCGAGUGUAGAGGUGAAAUUCGUAGAUAUUCGCAAGAACACCAGUGGCGAAGGCGGCUCACUGGCCCGAUACUGACGCUGAGGCACGAAAGCGUGGGGAGCAAACAGG
Molecule: ribosomal RNA, 253 nt
Filed under: uncultured bacterium
Lineage: Bacteria
Description: partial 16S ribosomal RNA
Rfam family: Bacterial small subunit ribosomal RNA
Source: RNAcentral